RNAcentral lists this ribosomal RNA (253 nucleotides) under uncultured bacterium. RNAcentral describes it as "partial 16S ribosomal RNA". It matches the Rfam family "Bacterial small subunit ribosomal RNA", at positions 524 to 776 of the family's 1533-position model. The record is from RNAcentral.
UACGUAGGGUGCGAGCGUUGUCCGGAGUUACUGGGCGUAAAGCGCUUGUAGGCGGUCCACCAAGUUUGGGGUGACAGUUGCCGACUUAAUCGGCAAAGUGCCUCAAAGACUGGCGGACUUGAGGGCCACAGAGGGACAUGGAACUCCAGGUGUAGUGGUGAAAUGCGUAGAUAUCUGGAAGAACACCAAAGGCGAAGGCAGUGUCCUGGGUGGUCGCUGACGCUGAGAGGCGAAAGCCAGGGGAGCGAACGGG